AAAAAUUUAAGUUAAAAAAACUAUUGACCUUCAAAGUCAAAAAUAGAAACUUUUCUAAUUUUUA
This 64-nucleotide transfer RNA is filed under the name Ceutorhynchus albosuturalis. Its description in RNAcentral is "tRNA-Trp". The record is from RNAcentral. Lineage: Eukaryota; Metazoa; Arthropoda; Insecta; Coleoptera; Curculionidae.